AGCACGCAGGGCGUGGGACAGGCAAAUCCGUCCCGCAUGGGUCCGAGGUGCGAUGAUGGGGGCCUUAUGGCCCGAUAUCCGGUGAUCCCGGCUGCCGAGAAAAGCUUCGGCGUCAGGCUCAAAGCCGCCCGUACCCCAAACCGACACUGGUGGUCAGGUAGAGAAUACCAAAGCGAUCGAGCGAAUCCUGGUCAAGGAACUCGGCAAAUCACUCCCGUUCCUUCGGUUUAAGGGAGACCCCCGAUGGUGAACACACUUGCUGUGGGAGCUUUUGGGGGUGGCACAGACCAGGGGUAGCGACUGUUUACCAAAAACACAGGUGCAUGCGAAGGCGCAAGCCGCUGUAUAUGCACUGACGCCUGCCCGGUGCCGGAAGGUUAAGAGGAUCCGUCAGCCUUCGGGUGAAGCGGUGAAUUCAAGCCCCGGUAAACGGCGGUGGUAACGAUAACCAUCCUAAGGUAGCGAAAUUCCUUGUCGGGUAAGUUCCGACCUGCACGAAUGGCGUAACAACUUCCCCACUGUCUCGACCAGGAGCUCGGCGAAACUGCAGUACGAGUAAAGAUGCUCGUUAAGCGCAGAAGGACGAAAAGACCCCGGGACCUUUACUAUACCUUGGUAUUGGCAUUCGGUGUGGAUUGUGUAGCAUAGGCGGGAGGCCGAGAGGCGCGGUCGCCAGAUCGCGCGGAGCCGUAAGGUGAAAUACCGCUCUGUUCGCAUUGGAUGUCUAACCUCGAACAGUCAUCCUGUUCAGGGACAGUGCCUGGCGGGUAGUUUAACUGGGGCGGUUGCCUCCCAAAGAGUAACGGAGGCGCCCAAAGGUCCGCUCAGCCCGGUUGGCAAUCGGGUGGCGAGUGCAAGUGCACAAGCGGGCUUGACUGCGAGGACGACGGUCCGAGCAGGGACGAAAGUCGGGACUAGUGAUCCGGUGCCGGUGUACGGACGCGGCAUCGCUCAACGGAUAAAAGGUACCCCGGGGAUAACAGGCUGAUCAUUCCCAAGAGUCCAUAUCGACGGGAUGGUUUGGCACCUCGAUGUCGGCUCGUCGCAUCCUGGGGCUGGAGCAGGUCCCAAGGGUUCGGCUGUUCGCCGAUUAAAGCGGCACGCGAGCUGGGUUCAGAACGUCGUGAGACAGUUUGGUCUCUAUCCUCUGCGGUCGUUGGAAUGCUGAGGAGGCCUGCCCAUAGUACGAGAGGACCUGGGUGGACGAACCUCUGGUAUGCCGGUUGUCACGCCAGUGGCACGGCCGGUUGGCUACGUUCGGAAGGGAUAACCGCUGAAAGCAUCUAAGCGGGAAGCCUGCUCCAAGAUAAGCAUUCCGUGGAACCUUCGAGUUCCUGUAGUCCCCAUGCAGAACACGUGGUCGAUAGGCCGGACGUGGAAGCCCCGCGAGGGGUGGAGCCGACCGGUACUAACGGACGAAAGGC
RNAcentral lists this ribosomal RNA (1424 nucleotides) under metagenome. RNAcentral's name for it is "bacterial LSU rRNA". It matches the Rfam family "Bacterial large subunit ribosomal RNA", at positions 1515 to 2917 of the family's 2925-position model. The record is from RNAcentral.